CCCUUAGAUGUUCUGGGCGGCCCGCGCACUACAAUGGCGCUUUCAGCGAGUUCCUAUGUUGAAUUUUCCUGGGUAUUCUUGGAAGCGGCGUCUUGACUUGGGAUAGAUCCUUGUAAUUGUUGGUUUUGAACGAGGAAUUCCUUGUAAUCGCGGUUGAUCAGCUCGCGUUGAAUACGUCCCUGCCCUUUGUACACACCGCCCGUCGCUCCUACCGAUGAAUCGUCCGGUGAAGUUCACAGAGUGGCGGUUCGUGGAGCUGCUCGCGAAGUGAAAUGGACCUCACGAUUUAGAGGAAGGAGAAGUCGUAACA
RNAcentral lists this ribosomal RNA (310 nucleotides) under uncultured eukaryote. RNAcentral's name for it is "partial 18S ribosomal RNA". It matches the Rfam family "Eukaryotic small subunit ribosomal RNA", at positions 1470 to 1796 of the family's 1831-position model. The record is from RNAcentral.